ACUCACGCCAGAUCAGCAACAAUGAAAAUUAUUGUGUCCUCUCUGCUUCUUGUAGCCAUGAACUCGGUAAUCUCUAACGGCCAAAGUGAUCAUUCUAAAGUAUCGAUAAAAGACCAGGGCUACAUGGAACAUGUGAGCAAGUUGCUUAACAUGUCAGCAAUACUCUUCAUAAAGAGGGCUGUCAAUGGUCCAAUACAGAAUAAUAAACGUAUCUGUUGGACCUCCAAAAGACAAG
Molecule: long non-coding RNA, 235 nt
Organism: Dermacentor silvarum
Lineage: Eukaryota; Metazoa; Arthropoda; Arachnida; Ixodida; Ixodidae
Exons: 3
Source: RefSeq, a predicted model, not a curated record